This 250-nucleotide ribosomal RNA is filed under the name uncultured bacterium. RNAcentral describes it as "partial 16S ribosomal RNA". It matches the Rfam family "Bacterial small subunit ribosomal RNA", at positions 355 to 619 of the family's 1533-position model. The record is from RNAcentral.
UAGGGAAUAUUGCACAAUGGAGGCAACUCUGAUGCAGCGACGCCGCGUGAGUGAUGAAGGCCUUCGGGUCGUAAAGCUCUGUCGCAGGGGAAUAACACAAUGAAUGUACCCUGUAAGAAAGGAUCGGCUAACUUCGUGCCAGCAGCCGCGGUAAGACGAGGGAUCCUAGCGUUGUUCGGAAUUAUUGGGCGUAAAGCGGAUGUAGGUGGCUUUGUAAGUCAGGUGUGAAAGCCUAGGGCUCAACCCUAGA